CCUAGACAGGGAUUGGGAGACAUGCAAGUUGCUUGGCUUCCUAUUACCUUGUGUUGAAAACACAAUAGGCUUUGGGAUCAGGAGUUCAUUCCAGUUAUUUUAAUGUUAUUUACUAGCAGUGUGCCCUCGUGCACAUUAUCAAACUCCUCUGACUCUUGGAAUCCUCAUUUUUCAAUAAUAACUCACAAAGCUGUCAAGCCUAAGGGUUCUAACAGCUCGAACAGCACCUGGAACAGAAGCAAUAGCCGCCACUCAGAGGUUACUUCUUCCUUCUCCGCCUUCUCUGGAUCACCUCCCUACCUCAUCCUCAAUCUAACGCUGGAAAUAUUGGAUAUGGGGUUCUUCAAUCUCAAAUAAAUCAUCUGUAGAGUCCCCUCCAGUUCCGAAAUUCUCUCUAUGUCUUGGAGUGUGUGGAAUAGCCAGGAAACCAGCCCAGGAGCUUUGACUCCCAGCCAUUCUGCACCUUAAGCAAAAAGGAAGUUAGCCACACAUGGUGGCUCAUGACUGUAGUCUCAGCUACAUGGGAGGCAAGGCGAGAGGAUCUCUUGAGCCCAGGAGUUCGAGGCCAGCCUAGGCAAUGUAGUAAGACCCUGUUCUUAAAUUUUUUUAAAAAGCAA
RNAcentral lists this long non-coding RNA (617 nucleotides) under Homo sapiens (human). RNAcentral's name for it is "PREDICTED lncRNA (TCONS_00247505)". Lineage: Eukaryota; Metazoa; Chordata; Mammalia; Primates; Hominidae. The record is from RNAcentral.